This 1735-nucleotide long non-coding RNA is filed under the name Homo sapiens (human). RNAcentral's name for it is "HSALNT0144676". The record is from RNAcentral. Lineage: Eukaryota; Metazoa; Chordata; Mammalia; Primates; Hominidae.
UUUUUGAUUUUUGUUUUUCAUUUUAGAUCAUAAAAUUCUUAGGUGAGGAGCUGUGUUCCCUCUUCCAUCCAUUGUAAUUUCUCAUCUUUCCAUCUUCUUCAUCUCCUUCUUUCUUUUCCUCUGCUCUCAAACAUUUAUUGGAAGACUAAGCAGUGCCAACCACUAUACAAAGCAUUAAACAAACAAAACAAAACAAACACAAGGAGGCAUGAUUCUUUCACUGAGAAACGAACUUCCAGAGCUAAGUAUUAAUAUAAUUCCUGACAGGGCAGUUACUUUAGGGACAAAGAGAUGAAUGGCAGUGCAGCUGUGGAGGAAGAAGUGGCAUUCCUGACUGAGCUCAUAUAAGGGGCAUUAUACAGAUCAAUAUUUUGUCUGAGUAGAAAUGAGAUAGACAAAGGUGGGGAGCAUUCAGGAAAGGACAGAGACAGCGCAGGUGCAUGAAGGGUGCACAGUGGCCUGUCAUUUGUCUUUGCCAAAGCUGCAGAGCAGUGUGGAGGACUGGGGGCUGUGGGUGGAGAGUGUCCGGGCCAGGCCUAUUGGGAGUGCCUUUGAUGCCAUGCCAAAACCUUUGCAUUAUUUUGUUCUCAAACAGCCAAAUAAAGGAUUUUAAGUGACAUAACCAUUUUUUUCUUUUAGCUCUAGUGUUCCUGCUUCCACGUAUAGAACUGUGUGAGAGAGGAAGAGAGAGAGAGAGAAAGAGAGGAAGGAAGGGAGAAGAGAGGCAUUAGGGAGUAGGGAACUGAGUAACAUUUUCAGACCAGGAAAGAUGAAGAGGACUAAGUUUUAAGCCUGAGGAUAUUUGCUGAAUACACAAGGGAGGUGUUUAAUAGAGUAAUGUAGUACUGGACUCAGUAGGUUUAUUCCUUGCUUUCUCUCUCUCUCUCUCUCUCUCUCCAGAUCAAUGCCACAAGUGUCUUCUCGCUCACUUCAAAAGUGAUGAUGCAAUUUCUUGCUGUCACUUAGAGUUCACUGUCUUCAUUAUAAUUGUGUUUUUGUCUCUUUGGCUCCAACCCUUUAUGCAAGGGCUUCAAAGAAUGGUUUGUUCUGCUUUCUGGUUUUAUGUCUUUUUAUUACACCAUAGUGCAGUCUUAAAAACCCUUAGUCCUUAACAUUUCCAAAACAAUCUGCAAAUAUUAGCUAACCAAUUCGCAUCUUGACCCCGGGAGGCUGGGUCAGUGUGAUUAUUUCGGCUUUAUAGAUGAGCGAGCUGGAUGGGGAAGGUUGAAGGAUUUGCUUGGGUUUGCAAAAUAAAGCAGAGAGCAAGUGCAUCAUUCACAAGAGGAUCAUUCCUGACUGAUCAUAUUUCUGUUCUUGAGAAGCAGCUGGUGGAAAAGAGGAGGAUGGUGUGGGUCAGGGGAAGUCAGAGGAGAAUUUUACGGUCUUCGGCAAGACACAUCACGAACAUGAGCUGGUUUCCUCACUGGAUAUAAUUAUCUAUUUAUGUGUCUCCUGCCUGUUGAGUGAUUCUUAAUUACAAUGUUCUUAGAUGCUUGAGAUCCAUAAGCCUAUGUAUUUUCCUUACACAUAUUAGGAGACAGGUAUUAUAUCCACUUUUCACAUAUGAAAAAAAUGAGACUUGGGAGAAAUCAAUAUACGCAAAGCUUCAUCACCAGAAGUGGCCAGCAUGCCCAGAACACAACCUCAGUUUGCAGAUGAAAUAGUUUCCACAGAGAUUGUAAGAAAACCUGCAGAAAGGAUACAAUAAUUUAAAAAUAAAUUAAGCAAAGCUUAG